Molecule: transfer RNA, 70 nt
Filed under: Erythrobacter sp.
Lineage: Bacteria; Pseudomonadati; Pseudomonadota; Alphaproteobacteria; Sphingomonadales; Erythrobacteraceae
Description: tRNA-Arg
Rfam family: tRNA
About the family: Transfer RNA (tRNA) molecules are approximately 80 nucleotides in length.
Source: RNAcentral
UAGCUCAGCUGGAUAGAGCGCUGCCCUCCGAAGGCAGAGGCCACAGGUUCGAAUCCUGUCGGGUGCACCA